AGUGAACGCUGGUGGUAGGCCUAACACAUGCAAGUCGAACGGCAGCACAGUAAGAGCUUGCUCUUACGGGUGGCGAGUGGCGGACGGGUGAGGAAUACAUCGGAAUCUACUUUUUCGUGGGGGAUAACGUAGGGAAACUUACGCUAAUACCGCAUACGACCUACGGGUGAAAGCAGGGGAUCUUCGGACCUUGCGCGAUUGAAUGAGCCGAUGUCGGAUUAGCUAGUUGGCGGGGUAAAGGCCCACCAAGGCGACGAUCCGUAGCUGGUCUGAGGGGAUGAUCAGCGACACUGGAACUGAGACACGGUCCAGACUCCUACGGGAGGCAGCAGUGGGGAAUAUUGGACAAUGGGCGCAAGCCUGAUCCAGCCAUACCGCGUGGGUGAAGAAGGCCUUCGGGUUGUAAAGCCCUUUUGUUGGGAAAGAAAAGCAGCAGGUUAAUACCCCGCUGUUCUGACGGUACCCAAAGAAUAAGCACCGGCUAACUUCGUG
RNAcentral lists this ribosomal RNA (492 nucleotides) under uncultured bacterium. RNAcentral's name for it is "partial 16S ribosomal RNA". It matches the Rfam family "Bacterial small subunit ribosomal RNA", at positions 29 to 507 of the family's 1533-position model. The record is from RNAcentral.